This 80-nucleotide small nucleolar RNA is filed under the name Anabas testudineus (climbing perch). Its description in RNAcentral is "Small nucleolar RNA SNORD72 (ENSATEG00000013951.2)". It matches the Rfam family "Small nucleolar RNA SNORD72". Rfam says of the family: snoRNA HBII-240 belongs to the CD family of snoRNAs. The record is from Rfam by way of RNAcentral. Lineage: Eukaryota; Metazoa; Chordata; Actinopteri; Anabantiformes; Anabantidae.
GUCUUGUCAGUGAUGUUUCUAAACACAAAUGUCUGAACAAAUGACUUUCUGUGAUUCCUCCUUCUAUACUGAGACAAGAC